RNAcentral lists this ribosomal RNA (425 nucleotides) under uncultured bacterium. RNAcentral describes it as "bacterial SSU rRNA". It matches the Rfam family "Bacterial small subunit ribosomal RNA", at positions 354 to 796 of the family's 1533-position model. The record is from RNAcentral.
GUGGGGAAUCUUGCACAAUGGGGGAAACCCUGAUGCAGCGACGCCGCGUGAGCGAUGAAGCCCUUCGGGGUGUAAAGCUCUUUCGGCAGGGAAGAUUAUGACGGUACCUGCAGAAGCAGCUGCGGCUAACUACGUGCCAGCAGCCGCGGUAAUACGUAGGCAGCGAGCGUUGUUCGGAAUUACUGGGCGUAAAGGGUGUGUAGGCGGUUCUCUAAGUUCGGUGUGAAAUCUCCCGGCUCAACUGGGAGGGUGCGCCGAGGACUGGAGGACUAGAGUGCGGGAAAGGAGAGUGGAAUUCCUGGUGUAGCGGUGAAAUGCGUAGAGAUCAGGAGGAACACCGGCGGUGUAAACGGCUCUCUGGACCGUAACUGACGCUGAAACACGAAAGCGUGGGGAGCAAACAGGAUUAGAAACCCCAGUAGUCC